This is a long non-coding RNA of Mus musculus (house mouse), 495 nucleotides long. RefSeq annotates it as predicted gene, 40905. The transcript is spliced from 3 exons. NCBI's taxonomy places the organism in Eukaryota, Metazoa, Chordata, Mammalia, Rodentia, Muridae. The record is from RefSeq and is a predicted model, not a curated record.
UAGAGACUGGGACGUGACUGAGGAACCAGACGCUGCACAUAAGGAAGCCAAUACUUUCCUCAAGCAAGAUGAGCAAGAAAGCCACAGGCUAAAGGUUCUGCAGCUGCUGACACUCCCUGCUGGGUCAGGGGUUAGAAGACAUGUGGUGUUAGUAACCUUUUGUGGAAAUGUGGAGAUGAGCAGCAGAAGAGGAUCCAUUUCAAGUUACCUGUCCCUAUCAUUGGUUGCCAUGGCUGCAGGUGGAUGUGACAGAAGCUACAGAUCUUUGAGUAAGCAGGAAAGAGAAAUAAGAAGGGACAUGGACAGAGUAUUGCCUUGAGAGAUACAACACCAGCAACUACCUCCUUUGUUCAGCUAGAUACUCUCAUCCCUAAAAGUUCAGCUGCUUCCAAAACAAGGAUCCCAAAUAAGCAACCUAUGUGGCUCUUGAUUCCAGGAUGCCUUCCAAGAACAGAAUCCAGACAUGUGAGCCACUGGCCAGACACAACAUCUGGC